GUGAGGAAUAUUGGUCAAUGGGCGAAAGCCUGAACCAGCCAUGUCGCGUGAAGGAUGAAGGUCCUAUGGAUUGUAAACUUCUUUUGCAGGAGGGUAAAGUGAGCUACGUGUAGUUCAUUGCAAGUACCCUGCGAAUAAGCAUCGGCUAACUCCGUGUCAGCAGCCGCGGUAAUACGGAGGAUGCGAGCGUUAUCCGGAUUUAUUGGGUUUAAAGGGUGCGUAGGCGGACUAAUUAGUCAGCGGUGAAAUUUUGCGGCUCAACCGUAAAACUGCCGUUGAAACUGUUAGUCUUGAGUGCGGUAGAGGUAGGCGGAAUGUGUGGUGUAGCGGUGAAAUGCUUAGAUAUCACACAGAACACCGAUUGCGUAGGCAGCUUACUGGAGCGCAACUGACGCUGAGGCACGAAAGCGUGGGGAUCGAACAGGAUUAGAAACCCCAGUAGUCC
RNAcentral lists this ribosomal RNA (445 nucleotides) under uncultured bacterium. Its description in RNAcentral is "partial 16S ribosomal RNA". It matches the Rfam family "Bacterial small subunit ribosomal RNA", at positions 354 to 796 of the family's 1533-position model. The record is from RNAcentral.